This 71-nucleotide transfer RNA is filed under the name Schistosoma japonicum. RNAcentral's name for it is "tRNA-OTHER". Lineage: Eukaryota; Metazoa; Platyhelminthes; Trematoda; Strigeidida; Schistosomatidae. The record is from RNAcentral.
GGAGAGAUGGCUCAGUGGUUAAGAGCACUGACCUCUUCCAGAGGUCCUGAGUUCAAUUCCCAGCAACCACA